RNAcentral lists this signal recognition particle RNA (269 nucleotides) under Candidatus Woesearchaeota archaeon ex4484_78. Its description in RNAcentral is "signal recognition particle sRNA". It matches the Rfam family "Archaeal signal recognition particle RNA". Lineage: Archaea; Nanobdellati; Candidatus Woesearchaeota. RNAcentral also lists the same sequence under 1 other name. The record is from RNAcentral.
CAGGUGGCAUAGCUGGGAGGUUAGCUCUCUCCUGUAACCGUGAACGAGCUUUACACGGAGUGAGUCAUUCAAGAGAUUGUACUUUUAUGCAACAGUCCUGUGCUGGACGUUGAGGUUCUGUCCUGUGGGAUUAGGCCUGCAGGAACCGCGCCAGGUCCGGAAGGAAGCAACGCUAACUACAGUCCCUAAUGCUCACAGGGUAGCGGAACUGAGAAAAGCACAGGGUAGCUGCUGCAUGAAAUGCAGUCCAUUGAGUGACGCGCCACCUG